GAAGUGGAGUGUGGGGGUUCAACUUCUGGGCAGAUAUAUUUGCAUAGGUGUUUUGUGAGUUAUAGUUGUUAUCCUAAUGGGAUACCUAACCCUAAGAAAUCAUCAUCUUCUUCGGUUUCAUCUUCAUCAGAUUCUUCGUAUUCUUCUUCGUCAGAUUCUUCGUAUUAUUCACCAUCUUCUUCUUCAUCAGGAACAGAUUCAAAUACAGGGAAGACAGUGGCAAUUAUCUUGGGAGGGGCAGCAAGAGUUGGAUUUUUAGUAAUAUUUGUAUUAUUUGCUAAAAAUGCAGCAAAGAAACAUGAUGAUUAUUGAAAGGGAGAUGAGAUGAGAGUUGGUCACAGGAAUCAAGAACCAAAGAUCCAAUUUUUGAGGUGGGUUCUUUCUUUGGUCUUUUUGAAAUCCAUUACUAAGAUUUGGUUUUUGGUUAGU
Molecule: long non-coding RNA, 429 nt
Organism: Helianthus annuus (common sunflower)
Lineage: Eukaryota; Viridiplantae; Streptophyta; Magnoliopsida; Asterales; Asteraceae
Exons: 3
Source: RefSeq, a predicted model, not a curated record